This 389-nucleotide ribosomal RNA is filed under the name uncultured bacterium. RNAcentral's name for it is "bacterial SSU rRNA". It matches the Rfam family "Bacterial small subunit ribosomal RNA", at positions 28 to 419 of the family's 1533-position model. The record is from RNAcentral.
GACGAACGCUGGCGGCGUGCUUAACACAUGCAAGUCGAGCGGUAAGGCCCUUUCGGGGGUACACGAGCGGCGAACGGGUGAGUAACACGUGGGUGACCUGCCCUCAGCUCUGGGAUAAGCCUGGGAAACCGGGUCUAAUACUGGAUAUGACUCCAUGACGCAUGUUGUGGGGUGGAAAGCCUUGUGCGGCUGAGGAUGGGCCCGCGGCCUAUCAGCUUGUUGGGGGGUGAUGGCCUACCAAGGCGACGACGGGUAGUCGGCCUGAGAGGGCGACCGGCCACACUGGGACUGAGACACGGCCCAGACUCCUACGGGAGGCAGCAGUGGGGAAUCUUGCGCAAUGGGCGAAAGCCUGACGCAGCGACGCCGCGUGAGGGAUGACGGCCUGG